AUGAAGAGUUUGAUCCUGGCUCAGGAUGAACGCUGGCGGCGUGCUUAACACAUGCAAGUCUAGGAAAGACUUCGAGCUUGCUUGAAGUGGAAACUGGCGAACGGGUGAGUAACACGUAGAUAACCUACCCAUGGGCGGGGGAUAACGUCGAGAAAUCGGCACUAAUACCGCAUAUAAUUUCAGAUUGAUUUUCUGAAAUGAAAGGGGGCUUCGGCUCUCACCUUUGGAUGGGUCUGCGUCUGAUUAGCUUGUUGGUGAGGUAAUGGCUCACCAAGGCUACGAUCAGUAGCUGGUCUGAGAGGAUGAUCAGCCACAUUGGGACUGAGAUACGGCCCAGACUCCUACGGGAGGCAGCAGUGGGGAAUUUUGCGCAAUGGGCGAAAGCCUGACGCAGCAACGCCGCGUGACCGACGAAGCAUUUAGGUGUGUAAAGGUCUGUCGUUAGGGAAGAACAGAGUGGUGGUUAAUACCCUCCGCUUCUGACGGUACCUGACAAGAAAGCUCCGGCUAACUCCGUGCCAGCAGCCGCGGUAAUACGGGGGGAGCAAGCGUUAUCCGGAAUUACUGGGCGUAAAGGGCACGUAGGCGGGUUCUUAAGUCAGAUUUUAAAUCCAACAGCUUAACUGUUGACCUGGAUCUGAAACUGGGAGUCUUGAGUGUAAGAGAGGAAAGCGGAAUUCCUGGUGUAGCGGUGAAAUGCGUAGAUAUCAGGAAGA
This 716-nucleotide ribosomal RNA is filed under the name Fidelibacterota bacterium. RNAcentral's name for it is "bacterial SSU rRNA". It matches the Rfam family "Bacterial small subunit ribosomal RNA", at positions 1 to 705 of the family's 1533-position model. Lineage: Bacteria; Pseudomonadati; Fidelibacterota. The record is from RNAcentral.